Molecule: signal recognition particle RNA, 299 nt
Filed under: Aotus nancymaae (Ma's night monkey)
Lineage: Eukaryota; Metazoa; Chordata; Mammalia; Primates; Aotidae
Description: Metazoan signal recognition particle RNA (ENSANAG00000007760.1)
Rfam family: Metazoan signal recognition particle RNA
About the family: The signal recognition particle (SRP) is a universally conserved ribonucleoprotein. It is involved in the co-translational targeting of proteins to membranes.
Source: RNAcentral
GUUGGGCACAGUGGUAUGUGUCUGUAGUCCCAGUUACCCAGGAGGCUGAGGAAGGAGGAUCGCUUGAGCCCAGGAGUUCUGGCUCGUAGAGCACUAUGCCCAUUGGGUGUCCACACUAAGGUCGGCAUCAGUAUGAUGACCUCCUGGGAGUGGGGGCCCACCAGGUUGCCCAAGGAGGGGUGAACCAGCCCAGGUUGGAAACAGAGCAGGUCAAAACUCCUGUGCUGAUCAGUAAUGGGAUGGUGCCUGUGAACAGCCACUGCACUCCAAUCUGGGGAAGAUGGCAAGACCCCAUCUCU